Molecule: long non-coding RNA, 2118 nt
Filed under: Piliocolobus tephrosceles (Ugandan red Colobus)
Lineage: Eukaryota; Metazoa; Chordata; Mammalia; Primates; Cercopithecidae
Description: lncRNA (ENSPTEG00000015271.1)
Source: RNAcentral
CCAUAACAAAAAUGAAGGAACCCAUAACAAAAAUGAAGGAACCCAUAACAAAAAGAAAGGAACCCAUAACAAAAAGGAAGUAACCCAUAACAAAAAGGAAGGAACCCAUAACAAUAAGAAAGGAACCAAUAACAAAAAAACAAACAUAAAUGCUAAUAAAGGUUUACCAUUUAAAGAUUAUCCAGAAUACGAAAGAAGAGGUAAUAAUGAUUUUUAUGAAAUUUAUAGAACAAAGGAGGAUGUAGAAGAAGAAGAAGCAAUUACUUGGUGUUACAUUAGAAGUAUAUACCAACUAAAAAAAAAGGAACUACAAUACACUAAGGAUAUCAACGCCAACAUGAAUGAUAUCAAAGAAGACAUAAACAAACUUCUAGUAUUACUAAAAACGGGGGACGUCUAUUUAAAAGAAUUUUGUUAUAAAUUAUACGAAAGCGAAUUAAAAAGAAAAAAAAAAAAAGGUACAGGUAGUAUAAACACAUUAUAUUUGGAUGAAGAAAAUAUAUAUAUUAACAACAUAUAUAACACAAAUAUACAAAAUGUAAACUUUUAUUCGAGAGUAAUAAGUGGUAAGAUUUGUGAAUACAAAGUAAAAUAUAGUAAAAUAAAUAAUAUAGUUACCUUUCAGGAAUUUGAUGGUACUAUUUAUGCAUUUAAAAUGCCAAACGAUACAAUUUUUCAUUUUACAACACAAAAUAAUAACAUUUUUAGUCAUAGUGAAAUAGUUAAAAACAAAAAACAAAGUGGUGAAAAUAUAAUGGACACUAUCGGUUUUGAAAGUAGUAAUAAUAAUAGCAAUUAUUUAUAUAUCAUAAGUAACAACAAUGACAGUAAUAAUAACAAUAGCAGUAAUAGCAAUAUAAAUAUAGAAAUUAUAGACACACAAAAGGUAACAGAUAAGAAAACCGAGUUUUUGGUACAUAAGAAACUUGUUCGUAUAUUUUAUAGUAAUAAUCAUUUGUUUUUGGUAAACUUGUUAGAUCAUGAUAAAAAAAAAAAUUGUAAUCAAAUGCGCUAUUUUACAUACUCUAUUUAUAAGAACAAUGUUAAUGAACCAAUUCGAUUGUUGUAUAUAUCUCCUAUCCACCCCAUGUAUUCAGAUGAUAUGAUAAAUAAUGACACAUAUAAACUAUUUUCAAAAUGUAGAUACUUUUAUGAACAAGAUAAAUGUUUUAUUUGGUCAGAUGAACUAACAAACACAGGUUAUUCUCCUCAAGGGUGCAACAAAUUAAAUGAUAUACCGAACAUGAAUAUCAUACACAUAAAUACCUGUGUCCCUGUUUGCAUAGCUUAUAAUUGUAUCACUGAAAGUUAUUUCUUCUUUCAUAUACUAUAUAAUAUAAAGAAAUGUGAUAAAUCAUUUAUUCAGUUAAAUGAUUAUCACAAAAACAUGAAAAUCAAAAAUUAUAUAAAAUUAUAUAACUUUUUGAUAAUAAAAAGAAAUAAAUUUUGUUAUCAAAACAAAGUUUAUCAGGAUAUAAAUUUCAAUACUGAAAUUUAUAAACCUACAGUUGUAUUCUCUGGUGGAACAAAAUCACUCCACCAGAAAAUUAAAUUGUGUAUUUAUGAUAAUAUAAACAAUAUAUUGUUAUUAAUACCAAUUUAUCAUAAGUAUGUAAAGUAUAAGAUUAAAAUAAUUACAAAUAUAAUAAAUUUUGUAGGUAUUAGCUUAUCCAGAGAGCUAUCGUUAUUAAAAUAUUACCCUGUUAAUAUAUGUGCUUAUAUAAAUAAUCAAAUUAAUACAACUUAUUUAAACAUCCGACACAGAUACAUGGACAUUAAUAGUAUUUCAAUAAAUGUGUGUACAUCAGAUGUUAAUGCGAACGAUUUGAAAGAAAUGUUUAAUAAAAAAAAAAAUAUACUAAAAAAUAGUGGUAAUAUACAUGGUUUUUAUAGAAAGGACAUUAAAAAUAUAGCAAAAAGUAAUAUCAAUACCGGUUCUGACUGCAUGGAAACAUGCAAUAUUAUCGAUAUAAACAAAUUAAAUAACUUCAUAAUAAUUUUAAACAAAAAUGGGCAAUUAUAUUUAUGUUCAGACAAUAAGUACAUUUCCAGAGUUUCCUUAUAUAACAAUAAUGAAAAUGUAUGUAAUAUAUACAACUCUAACUUAAGUAAUGCUAC